ACCCGCUGAACUUAAGCAUAUCAAUAAGCGGAGGAAAAGAAACCAACAGGGAUUACCUCAGUAACGGCGAGUGAAGCGGUAACAGCUCAAAUUUGAAAUCUGGCUCCUUCGGAGUCCGAGUUGUAAUUUGUAGAAGAUGCUUUGGGUUGCAGGUUCGGUCUAAGUUCCUUGGAACAGGGCGUCAUAGAGGGUGAGAAUCCCGUCUGCGGCCGUGACCUGUGCCCGUGUAAAGCUCUUUCGACGAGUCGAGUUGUUUGGGAAUGCAGCUCAAAAUGGGUGGUAAAUUUCAUCUAAAGCUAAAUAUUGGCCAGAGACCGAUAGCGCACAAGUAGAGUGAUCGAAAGAUGAAAAGCACUUUGGAAAGAGAGUUAAACAGUACGUGAAAUUGUUGAAAGGGAAGCGCUUGCAACCAGACUUGGGCGUCGUGGAUCAUCCGAGGUUCUCCUCGGUGCACUCGACGACGCACAGGCCAGCAUCGGUUUGGAUGGCUGGAAAAAGGCCCUAGAAAUGUAGCUCCUCGCGGGGAGUGUUAUAGUCUAGGGCGUAAUGCAGCCCAUCUGGACCGAGGACCGCGCUUCGGCUAGGAUGCUGGCGUAAUGGUUGUAAGCGACCCGUCUUGAAACACGGACCAAGG
RNAcentral lists this ribosomal RNA (634 nucleotides) under Neoerysiphe galeopsidis. RNAcentral describes it as "partial 28S ribosomal RNA". It matches the Rfam family "Eukaryotic large subunit ribosomal RNA", at positions 23 to 671 of the family's 3401-position model. Lineage: Eukaryota; Fungi; Ascomycota; Leotiomycetes; Helotiales; Erysiphaceae. The record is from RNAcentral.